This 229-nucleotide ribosomal RNA is filed under the name uncultured bacterium. RNAcentral's name for it is "partial 16S ribosomal RNA". It matches the Rfam family "Bacterial small subunit ribosomal RNA", at positions 568 to 796 of the family's 1533-position model. The record is from RNAcentral.
CGCGUAGGCGGUUUAGUAAGUCUGGUGUGAAAGCCCUCGACUCAAUCGAGGAAGUGCACUGGAUACUGCUAGACUAGAGUAUCGGAGGGGAGAACGGAAUUCCUGGUGUAGAGGUGAAAUUCGUAGAUAUCAGGAGGAACAACGGUGGCGAAGGCGGUUCUCUGGACGAUAACUGACGCUGAGGUGCGAAAGCGUGGGGAGCGAACAGGAUUAGAUACCCUGGUAGUCC